AUUCAAAUGUGAUUGGUAUAUGACAAUAGAAUACAUUAUAAGAUUAUUGUCAACACUAUAAAUAUGAAAAAUUGCAAACUAUAGCCCAGUAGUGUUUAUAAUUAGGCUUUUAUUGAAUAGUGGUGAUGAAAAACUUUCUCCUCUAAACAUGAAGGCCUCAUGUUUGAGUUCCUAUAUGAGAGUUGUAGUGUGGUGUGCUAUAUAGAAGUGGAGGGGUCUUAUGGGCUUAUUCAACAUUAGGUGCUCUCAGCCCAUGACAUGUAUGAUGCUUUCUUAACAUUGAGCUGUGACCAACUAGGCCUGAUCCACAAGGCAGAACCCACAUGUGGGCCUAAUGAGAUUAUGUAAUCUAUCUAGGUUGUGAUGUUACCUAGUUGGCAUUGAACUUAUCCCACAUCGGUAGUUAUGAAAAGCAGCAAGCCUUUAUAAGAAAUAGAAGACAACUAAAAGGUUGUCCCUUCGGGGACAUCCGAUA
Molecule: unclassified non-coding RNA, 475 nt
Filed under: Hevea brasiliensis (rubber tree)
Lineage: Eukaryota; Viridiplantae; Streptophyta; Magnoliopsida; Malpighiales; Euphorbiaceae
Source: RNAcentral